UACGGAGGGUGCAAGCGUUAUCCGGAUUCACUGGGUUUAAAGGGUGCGUAGGAGGACAGGGAAGUCAGUGGUGAAAUCUCCGGGCUUAACCCGGAAACUGCCGUUGAUACUCUCUGUCUUGAAUAUUGUUGAGGUUUGCGGAAUGGGUCAUGUAGCGGUGAAAUGCAUAGAUAUGACCCGGAACACCAAUUGCGAAGGCAGCAGGCUAAACAAAGAUUGACGCUGAGGCUCGAAAGCGUGGGGAUCAAACAGG
Molecule: ribosomal RNA, 253 nt
Filed under: uncultured bacterium
Lineage: Bacteria
Description: partial 16S ribosomal RNA
Rfam family: Bacterial small subunit ribosomal RNA
Source: RNAcentral